RNAcentral lists this ribosomal RNA (542 nucleotides) under Akanthomyces dipterigenus. RNAcentral describes it as "Lecanicillium longisporum partial 18S ribosomal RNA". It matches the Rfam family "Eukaryotic small subunit ribosomal RNA", at positions 34 to 583 of the family's 1831-position model. Lineage: Eukaryota; Fungi; Ascomycota; Sordariomycetes; Hypocreales; Cordycipitaceae. The record is from RNAcentral.
GUUUCAAAGAUUAAGCCCUGCAUGUUUAAGUAUAAGCAAUUAUACAGCGAAACUGCGAAUGGCUCAUUAUAUAAGUUAUCGUUUAUUUGAUAGUACCUUACUACUUGGAUAACCGUGGUAAUUCUAGAGCUAAUACAUGCUAAAAAUCCCGACUCCGGAAGGGAUGUAUUUAUUAGAUUAAAAACCAAUGCCCUCUGGGCUCCUUGGUGAUUCAUAAUAACUUUUCGAAUCGCAUGGCCUUGCGCCGGCGAUGGUUCAUUCAAAUUUCUUCCCUAUCAACUUUUGAUGUUUGGGUAUUGGCCAAACAUGGUCGCAACGGGUAACGGAGGGUUAGGGCUUGACCCCGGAGAAGGAGCCUGAGAAACGGGUACUACAUCCAAGGAAGGCAGCAGGCGCGCAAAUUACCCAAUCCCGAUUCGGGGAGGUAGUGACAAUAAAUACUGAUACAGGGCUCUUUUGGGUCUUGUAAAUGGAAUGAGUACAAUUUAAAUCCCUUAACGAGGAACAAUUGGAGGGCAAGUUGGCCCAAAAAAAAAAAAAAU